Capsicum annuum is the source of this 1244-nucleotide long non-coding RNA. RefSeq lists it as uncharacterized. The transcript is spliced from 3 exons. Lineage: Eukaryota; Viridiplantae; Streptophyta; Magnoliopsida; Solanales; Solanaceae. The record is from RefSeq and is a predicted model, not a curated record.
AUGAAUUUCCCUCCUCAAUCUCAAUUGAAAAUAUCAAAAAUCCCUCUCAUUCUAAAAAACAUAACUCAAGAUAUAUUCCUUUUUCUUUCUCAAAAGUUAAUUGAAAACUCUCUUUCUUUCAAUCGUAAAAUUCCUAUUUUCUUUCUCAAAAGUGGAUUGAAAAUCCAUUUAUCCUCAUGCGUAAAUCUAGAUAAAUUUAAUUUGGGGGUGAUUUUGUAGCUCAUUUCUCAAUCAAUUGAAACCCCAUUUCUCCUCAAUUGUAAAUCCAGAAAAUUUUUAUUUUGGGAGUGAUUUUGUAGCUCCAUUUGCCUGGGUAGUAGUUCCAAUUGACUGAAAAUGGAGUAAACGAGAUGGAUCGAAAACCCAUUGCCUAGAAAUAGAAAUGCUAUAAGUAUCUUCAAUUGAAAACCUAUUUCUCUUCAAUCUAUUAGGCUUGCUGUAAUUUCCAUUGUUGUUGUUUGGUUGCAGUGACAGUGGAUUGAAACUCAACACUUAGCUUGUUGUUGAUCGGUGGAAAGGAGACGGAAAAAUCAACGGCUAUUGGAGCUUCGACGAGUUAGCUUUCAGCAUUUUUUAGCAUUGUUGUUUCAGAAUUUUGGGAUUCUAAGGUGGGCUGGGGUUGGUGAAGCAAGAGGAGAUUAUCCAUUUAGCCAUCACAAGUUAACAGUUCAGUUUUAUGAAGCAUCUGCUGCUCAGGACCGAAAACUGGAAGGACUGGUGCACAAGGCCAUUUUAGAGCUUUGGAGGCCUGAUCCUAGUGAGUUAGCUUUAUUGCUGGCUAAACGAGUAGACUCCUCUUUAUUCAAGGUUCUUCCUAGUGCAUAUACUUUGACUGGAAGCAGUGAUCCUUGAUACGUCGAAGCAUAUCAUUUGACUGAUCCAAGUGAUGGGAGAAUUACUCUGCACUUAAAGGCACUGAAUUUGAUAGAAGACCAGAAUCUUGAGAUACUAACUGAUUCUUGCUUGGAAGGUCAAGAAAUCAUUAGAAAGUUAAAGAACUUUGUUUCAGUUGGAUCACUUGCAGCUUUAUGGAAAAAAUAGAUGCUAGAAUGCAAGAAGAAGAAUACAGGCUACAUAGAAUUUCUUGAAGCUUAUCGCGACUAGAAAUUGAUACUAUGUAAAAACUUAACUAAUCAUUUGAGUGCUUAACAUACAUUUUGCUUUUGGAUUAAGAUUACCAGUUUAAUUUGUUCCAUAUUUUGAAUUAUUUGAUUAUUAAUGAAUGAUGUUUUAUGAUGUGUGUA